GCACGGCGCGCGUGGGAUGUCAUGGCCACUUUAGUACGACAAGAGGUUGGUUUCGAGAUGAAACUUUCAAAGUGAAAUGUCUCAAUCAUUAGUUGCUAGGCGAGGUAGCGCGCGCGUGGUCGGAUAGUUGCUUGCUACCGUUCGAGCCUGCAGCCGGCUGUUGACGUACUGUACAACUGUACUUCUACAGAAGAGAUUCUAGUCUUUUAGUGAUACAGGAGCAUUCCUGCAAAGAGUACACACUUUUCCUGGAAGAAUUUUGAGGAAUCUUUGCAUCUACCAUUUUUCUGGAAAGAACACAGCACAGAGUUAUAACCACUGACUUGAAUGAGUUGAAAGAAUACACUUCAAACGAUUGCUGCCUUAAUUCUUUCAAAGAAAUACAGUAGUUACAACCAGCUACAUGCCUGGUUAUAGUCGUGACUGAGUAAUUAUCUUUCGUAGAUGUAUGAUUUUCUGUAGUGGCAUGCAACGUCGGCCAUUGAAUCAAUUUG
This is a long non-coding RNA of Corticium candelabrum, 494 nucleotides long. RefSeq lists it as uncharacterized. The record is from RefSeq and is a predicted model, not a curated record. Lineage: Eukaryota; Metazoa; Porifera; Homoscleromorpha; Homosclerophorida; Plakinidae. The transcript has 3 exons.